AUUGAACGCUGGCGGCAGGCUUAACACAUGCAAGUCGAGCGGAGCGAGGGUGCUUGCACCUUAGCUUAGCGGCGGACGGGUGAGUAAUGCUUAGGAAUCUGCCUAUUAGUGGGGGACAACAUUCCGAAAGGAAUGCUAAUACCGCAUACGCCCUACGGGGGAAAGCAGGGGAUCUUCGGACCUUGCGCUAAUAGAUGAGCCUAAGUCGGAUUAGCUAGUUGGUGGGGUAAAGGCCUACCAAGGCGACGAUCUGUAGCGGGUCUGAGAGGAUGAUCCGCCACACUGGGACUGAGACACGGCCCAGACUCCUACGGGAGGCAGCAGUGGGGAAUAUUGGACAAUGGGCGGAAGCCUGAUCCAGCCAUGCCGCGUGUGUGAAGAAGGCCUUUUGGUUGUAAAGCACUUUAAGCGAGGAGGAGGCUCUUAAGGUUAAUACCCUUGAUGAGUGGACGUUACUCGCAGAAUAAGCACCGGCUAACUCUGUGCCAGCCGCCGCAGUAA
This 501-nucleotide ribosomal RNA is filed under the name uncultured bacterium. RNAcentral describes it as "partial 16S ribosomal RNA". It matches the Rfam family "Bacterial small subunit ribosomal RNA", at positions 30 to 523 of the family's 1533-position model. The record is from RNAcentral.